RNAcentral lists this ribosomal RNA (492 nucleotides) under uncultured bacterium. RNAcentral's name for it is "partial 16S ribosomal RNA". It matches the Rfam family "Bacterial small subunit ribosomal RNA", at positions 29 to 507 of the family's 1533-position model. The record is from RNAcentral.
AGUGAACGCUGGCGGUAGGCCUAACACAUGCAAGUCGAACGGCAGCACAGUAAGAGCUUGCUCUUACGGGUGGCGAGUGGCGGACGGGUGAGGAAUACAUCGGAAUCUACUUUUUCGUGGGGGAUAACGUAGGGAAACUUACGCUAAUACCGCAUACGACCUACGGGUGAAAGCAGGGGAUCUUCGGACCUUGCGCGAUCGAAUGAGCCGAUGUCGGAUUAGCUAGUUGGCGGGGUAAAGGCCCACCAAGGCGACGAUCCGUAGCUGGUCUGAGAGGAUGAUCAGUCACACUGGAACUGAGACACGGUCCAGACUCCUACGGGAGGCAGCAGUGGGGAAUAUUGGACAAUGGGCGCAAGCCUGAUCCAGCCAUACCGCGUGGGUGAAGAAGGCCUUCGGGUUGUAAAGCCCUUUUGUUGGGAAAGAAAAGCAGCAGGUUAAUACCCCGCUGUUCUGACGGUACCCAAAGAAUAAGCACCGGCUAACUUCGUG